This 100-nucleotide signal recognition particle RNA is filed under the name Cytobacillus oceanisediminis. RNAcentral's name for it is "Bacterial small signal recognition particle RNA". It matches the Rfam family "Bacterial small signal recognition particle RNA". Rfam says of the family: The signal recognition particle (SRP) is a universally conserved ribonucleoprotein involved in the co-translational targeting of proteins to membranes. Lineage: Bacteria; Bacillati; Bacillota; Bacilli; Caryophanales; Bacillaceae. RNAcentral also lists the same sequence under 1 other name. The record is from RNAcentral.
GCCUGGGUCCUGCGCAAUGGGAAUCCAUGAACCAUGUCAGGUCCGGAAGGAAGCAGCAUUAAGUGGACGCUCCCAUGUGCCGCAGGGUUGCCUGGGCCGA